AGUGAACGCUGGCGGUAGGCCUAACACAUGCAAGUCGAACGGCAGCACAGGAGAGCUUGCUCUCUGGGUGGCGAGUGGCGGACGGGUGAGGAAUACAUCGGAAUCUCCUUUUUCGUGGGGGAUAACGUAGGGAAACUUACGCUAAUACCGCAUACGACCUACGGGUGAAAGCAGGGGACCUUCGGGCCUUGCGCGAUUGAAUGAGCCGAUGUCGGAGUAGCUAGUUGGCGGGGUAAAGGCCCACCAAGGCGACGAUCCGUAGCUGGUCGGAGAGGAUGAUCAGCCACACUGGAACUGAGACACGGUCCAGACUCCUACGGGAGGCAGCAGUGGGGAAUAUUGGACAAUGGGCGCAAGCCUGAUCCAGCCAUACCGCGUGGGUGAAGAAGGCCUUCGGGUUGUAAAGCCCUUUUGUUGGGAAAGAAAUCCAGCUGGCUAAUACCCGGUUGGGAUGACGGUACCCAAAGAAUAAGCACCGGCUAACUUCGUGCCAGCCGCCGCCGUAA
Molecule: ribosomal RNA, 506 nt
Filed under: uncultured bacterium
Lineage: Bacteria
Description: partial 16S ribosomal RNA
Rfam family: Bacterial small subunit ribosomal RNA
Source: RNAcentral